This 69-nucleotide transfer RNA is filed under the name Tamias sibiricus (Siberian chipmunk). RNAcentral's name for it is "tRNA-Val". It matches the Rfam family "tRNA". From Rfam's summary of the family: Transfer RNA (tRNA) molecules are approximately 80 nucleotides in length. Lineage: Eukaryota; Metazoa; Chordata; Mammalia; Rodentia; Sciuridae. The record is from RNAcentral.
CAAAAUGUAGCUUAACACAUAAAGCAUCUGGCCUACACCCAGAAGAUUUCCUUAUAAAGAACAUUUUGA